RNAcentral lists this long non-coding RNA (247 nucleotides) under Setaria viridis. RNAcentral describes it as "long non-coding RNA (SVIR_LNC001432)". Lineage: Eukaryota; Viridiplantae; Streptophyta; Magnoliopsida; Poales; Poaceae. The record is from RNAcentral.
UGAAGCCUCCAGGUGAAGCCACCUAGGAUUCCUAGGUGGACACUCUAGAAAAAGAGAGAAAUUCUAGAAAUUCUUACAAAAAAGCAAAACAUCCGACCAUCAAUCGAUAGAUUCAAAUCAUCAUAGCCAUUGGAUCUAUUAUGUUUUUUAAAAAAUUACCCACCUAUGCCAUUAUAAAAAUAGCCUAAAGUAACCCCCUAAAUCUAUAUAUAAAUUACUCACCUCUGCCAUUAUAUAAAAUAAACUA